This 177-nucleotide ribosomal RNA is filed under the name uncultured bacterium. Its description in RNAcentral is "partial 16S ribosomal RNA". It matches the Rfam family "Bacterial small subunit ribosomal RNA", at positions 355 to 523 of the family's 1533-position model. The record is from RNAcentral.
UGGGGAAUCUUCCGCAAUGGACGAAAGUCUGACGGAGCAACGCCGCGUGUACGAAGAAGGUCUUCGGAUUGUAAAGUACUGUCUUUGGGGAUGAACGGUGUGGGUGUAAAUAAUGCCUGUACAUGACGGUACCCAAGGAGGAAGCCCCGGCUAACUACGUGCCAGCAGCCGCGGUAA